ACUGUUUCUUGUACUAUAUCCAACUAGCUUGUUUAGCAGAUAAACCCAAGUCAAACUCUGUAACUGAGGACAACUGCUACAAGCUAACAUUGUGAGCACUAUUUCAAAUAACAGUACCAAGCCAAAACUGUAUCAUUGUUGCAAAUACUGUGGACUUUUCAUUUUUUCCAGUGACUCUUUCAAAUAUAUACUAAUAUAAUUUUAUAUAUGUAUGAAAAUUAGAUCAUA
Non-coding RNA from Pelobates cultripes (western spadefoot toad), 228 nucleotides. The record is from the annotation of a GenBank genome assembly. Lineage: Eukaryota; Metazoa; Chordata; Amphibia; Anura; Pelobatidae.